This 358-nucleotide long non-coding RNA is filed under the name Manacus vitellinus (golden-collared manakin). RNAcentral's name for it is "lncRNA (ENSMVIG00005016001.1)". Lineage: Eukaryota; Metazoa; Chordata; Aves; Passeriformes; Pipridae. The record is from RNAcentral.
AGGAUUUGGCUUGAGCUCCUCUGCAGGAAUUAGUUUGUGCCAGUGGAAGUAAAUAGGCCCUUGGGGAUGCUGCUGCUGCCACUGAGCCUUCUUCUGUUUGCUGAUUCCCAUACAUGCCGAGCCCACAGAGUGCCUCCCCAGACUGUUACUUACUCCUUGAGAAGCACACAUCUGCCUGGCCAGAUAAGAACCUGUCACUACAGCAGGUUUCACGCCAGGGCAGUUUUCCCAAACCAGUGCUCUUCCACAGGUCACUGGCUUACUUCAGGACUCCCCUUCACCCUCCAGCAUCAACUACAGCUCCUGCUUAAAUGGUAAGACCCUAAGCAUGUUCUUAGAGGUCCAUAAAGCAAAGCCA